This 902-nucleotide long non-coding RNA is filed under the name Homo sapiens (human). RNAcentral describes it as "HSALNT0315085". The record is from RNAcentral. Lineage: Eukaryota; Metazoa; Chordata; Mammalia; Primates; Hominidae.
GAAGGAGUCAGAAGAAUCAAAGUCUACAGACCUAAAGAUGCUGCUCUGCUGAUUUAGAAGAAGACAGCAGGUGUCAAGAAAUGGAGCAGCAUCUGAAAACUGGAAAAGUCAAGGAACCAAUUCUGCCCUAAAGGCUCCAGAAGGAACACAGCAGUACUGACACCUAGCUUUCAGCCUAGUGAGAACCAUUUUUAACCUCUGACCUCCAGAAAUGUAAGGCAAUAAAUUUGCAUUGAUUUAAGGACAAAAUUUCUGCUAAAUCAGCCUAUGAGCCGACAUGUCCUUCUGACCUGAUGGAGUCUCGCUCUGACGCCCAGGCUGGAGGCAAUGGGACGAUCUCAGAUCACUGCAAACUCCCCCUCCCGAGUUCAAGCAAUUCUCUGUCUCAGCCUCCCAAGUAGCUGGGAUUACAGGCGCCCGCCACUACGCCCGGCUAAUUUUUUUGUAUUUUUAGUAGAGACGGGGUUUCACCAUCUUGGCCAGGCUGGUCUUAAACUCAUGAUCUCCUGAUCCACCUGCCUUGGCCUCCCAAAGUGCUGGGAUUACAGGCAUGAGCCACCGCGCCAGCCAACUACUUUUGAAGUCAGGCUUACGAAGAUAUAAUUUACAUUCAUUAAAACUCAUCCUUUUUAGUGUAGACAUCUGUGAGUUUGGACAAAGUCAUAUCAUUGUGUAACUAUCACGACAUUAAUGAUAUAAAACAAUUUAUAACCAAAAUUUCCCUCAUUUUCUGCUUUAGUCAGCCUCUUCCACACUCCCUGCCAAUGACACUUAACUUAUUUUCUGUCCCUGUAGUUCUGUCUUUUCCAGAAUAUCAUAUACAUAAAAUUAUUUGUCAUUUAAAUGAAUUAAAAGUAUGUAGCCUUUUGAUUAUGUGUUCUACUUACUGUAAUAAAUUUGAG